GGGGGCGCCCUGGUUUCGACGGGGAUUGAAGAUGCCGGAGUGGCAGGCCGAGGCGCCGCUGGCCUCGUUAAAAGCGGCACAAAAGUAAUUGCCAACGAUAAUUACGACUACGCACUGGCUGCUUAAUUGCAGUCACAUCCAUGCAGCGGACGCCUGAUAGGCUGCACGGGUGACAAAAAGCAUCAGGCUGGCUUCCGAUGGCGUUUGCCCCUGAGGAAGUAAGAACUUUCAGACAAACUGGCUGCAAGCCACCUGGUCAUGGGUAACACUUGCAGCGAGAUUAUGAACAUGACCUAAGCCUGUAGAAGCUUCGAGCGGACCGUUCUCGGACGCGAGUUCGAUUCUCGCCGCCUCCACCA
RNAcentral lists this transfer-messenger RNA (359 nucleotides) under Desulfovibrionaceae. Its description in RNAcentral is "Halodesulfovibrio psychrotolerans Standard tmRNA". It matches the Rfam family "transfer-messenger RNA". From Rfam's summary of the family: Bacterial tmRNA, also known as 10Sa RNA or SsrA, is named for its dual tRNA and mRNA-like properties. Its role is to liberate the mRNA from a stalled ribosome. Lineage: Bacteria; Pseudomonadati; Thermodesulfobacteriota; Desulfovibrionia; Desulfovibrionales. The record is from RNAcentral. RNAcentral also lists the same sequence under 1 other name.